AGAAAUUUCUGCUAAUGCCGGAUGUGCCCGGAAGGGAAAAGAUUUAUCGGCUUAAGAUGAGCCCGCGUUGGAUUAGCUGGUUGGUGGGGUAAAGGCCUACCAAGGCGGCGAUCCAUAGCUGGUCUGAGAGGAUGAUCAGCCACACUGGGACUGAGACACGGCCCAGACUCCUACGGGAGGCAGCAGUGGGGAAUAUUGGACAAUGGGCGCAAGCCUGAUCCAGCCAUGCCGCGUGAGUGAUGAAGGCCUUAGGGUUGUAAAGCUCUUUCACCGGGGAAGAUAAUGACGGUACCCGGAGAAAAAGCCCCGGCUAACUUCGUGCCAGCAGCCGCGGUAAUACGAAGGGGGCUAGCGUUGUUCGGAAUUACUGGGCGUAAAGAGCACGUAGGCGGAAAAGUAAGUCAGGGGUGAAAUCCCGGGGCUCAACCCCGGAAUUGCCUUUGAUACUGUUUUUCUUGAGUGCAGAAGAGGUAAGUGGA
RNAcentral lists this ribosomal RNA (479 nucleotides) under uncultured Hyphomicrobiales bacterium. Its description in RNAcentral is "bacterial SSU rRNA". It matches the Rfam family "Bacterial small subunit ribosomal RNA", at positions 152 to 665 of the family's 1533-position model. Lineage: Bacteria; Pseudomonadati; Pseudomonadota; Alphaproteobacteria; Hyphomicrobiales. The record is from RNAcentral.